This 82-nucleotide transfer RNA is filed under the name Ciona intestinalis (vase tunicate). Its description in RNAcentral is "tRNA-Ser (CGA) (tRNA-Ser-CGA-9-1)". It matches the Rfam family "tRNA". Rfam says of the family: Transfer RNA (tRNA) molecules are approximately 80 nucleotides in length. Their secondary structure includes four short double-helical elements and three loops (D, anti-codon, and T loops). Lineage: Eukaryota; Metazoa; Chordata; Ascidiacea; Phlebobranchia; Cionidae. The record is from Rfam by way of RNAcentral.
GUCGUCGUGGCCGAGUGGUUAAGGCGACAGACUCGAAAUCUUUUGGGCUCUGCCCGCACAGGUUCGAAACCUGUCGGCGACG